Molecule: long non-coding RNA, 690 nt
Filed under: Equus caballus (horse)
Lineage: Eukaryota; Metazoa; Chordata; Mammalia; Perissodactyla; Equidae
Description: lncRNA (ENSECAG00000054596.1)
Source: RNAcentral
CACCUGAGAAAGGCCUUAGCUGAAAGCCUUUGGAAAAAUGACCUCUGAAUUGAGGCACCUGAGCAAGGCAGUGUAUAUUGCAGAAGAGCAUAGCGGGCCAGUGUGGCCUGAGUCCCUGACUGCAACUCCGUCCUGAGACGGCAGCGUGUUGGCUGUGCCCCAGCUCAGUGUAGCGAGGACAGCUUUCUGCUCCUGAGGCCUGCUAGUGCCUUUGGGCUUCCCGGUGAAAUCCUCUUCGGAUAGCAUCUGUCUUUCAGACCUGUCAGUCAUAACAUACUGACAUGCUGAGCCCUAAUGGUGUGUUGAAACCUGGACUUUCACAAAGGCUUUCUCAUCUAUGGGUGAUUGCCUAAGUCAGUGUUUCCAGGGGCUCUGGGACCCUGGCCAGGAGAGGCUGGAGCUGGUUCACAGGCCACUGGAGGGUCCACAGCCAGGAUCAAGUUCUGUCUGCAAAUUACCCAAUGCAAGGAUGGCCAAGAUUCCUUCCAGGUGCCUUGGUGUAUGGUGCUGGAUUCCACAGAUCCCUCAAAGGCACUUUUGUCUGCGGAUGGAUGCCAAAUUUUUAUGUGGCAGGGGGACAAAAAAGGGACAUCUUAUGCUACUGUGAUGCUGACAUCAGCUUUAUGUUUUAUCUUAAUUGUUGAACUUAUUGUCGCAAAAUUAUCUACAGUACUAUUAUCUUAUCCUGUU